UCCUUCUUCUUCUCAAGCGUCUCCGCUUUGCUUGGACUGUGGCAUCGAUGCAAAAUGGGUUGUGGCAAUUCCUCAGCCACCAGCACGUCAGGAGGGGGGCCAGCAGACGUCUCAAAAGAUGUGACAGAAGAUCUCUCGGUAGACGAUGAGAAAAGAAGGAACUAUGGUGGCGUAUAUGUAGGUCUACCAGCAGACAUGACCACUGUGGCUGCCAGUCAGUCCAAGUCCAUAUGUAAAGGUAAACUUCUGUACCAUUCAUUUCAUAUUCUGGAGAAUUGAUGAGCAUCUUGUAGUGAACCACAGGCCUGCAGUAUGUCUCGUAUAUUUGACUU
Molecule: long non-coding RNA, 332 nt
Filed under: Cottoperca gobio
Lineage: Eukaryota; Metazoa; Chordata; Actinopteri; Perciformes; Bovichtidae
Description: lncRNA (ENSCGOG00000021517.1)
Source: RNAcentral